This is a non-coding RNA of Oryza glumipatula, 205 nucleotides long. Lineage: Eukaryota; Viridiplantae; Streptophyta; Magnoliopsida; Poales; Poaceae. The record is from Rfam.
AAAAAGACAAACCCUGGGUUUUCGUGUGCAACUUUGAUUGUCCGUCUUAUAUGAAAUUUUUUUAUAAUUCGUAUUUUCAUUGUUGUUAGAUGAUAAAACAUGAUUAAUAUUUUAUGCGUGACUUAUCUUUUUAAUUUUUUUCAUAAUUUUUUAAAAUAAGACGGACGGUCAAAUGUUGGGCACGGAAACCAGGGUUUGUCUUUUU